Molecule: ribosomal RNA, 985 nt
Filed under: Salmonella enterica subsp. enterica serovar Infantis
Lineage: Bacteria; Pseudomonadati; Pseudomonadota; Gammaproteobacteria; Enterobacterales; Enterobacteriaceae
Description: partial 23S ribosomal RNA
Rfam family: Bacterial large subunit ribosomal RNA
Source: RNAcentral
AGACCCGAAACCCGGUGAUCUAGCCAUGGGCAGGUUGAAGGUUGGGUAACACUAACUGGAGGACCGAACCGACUAAUGUUGAAAAAUUAGCGGAUGACCUGUGGCUGGGGGUGAAAGGCCAAUCAAACCGGGAGAUAGCUGGUUCUCCCCGAAAGCUAUUUAGGUAGCGCCUCGUGAAUUCAUCUCCGGGGGUAGAGCACUGUUUCGGCUAGGGGGCCAUCCCGGCUUACCAACCCGAUGCAAACUGCGAAUACCGGAGAAUGUUAUCACGGGAGACACACGGCGGGUGCUAACGUCCGUCGUGAAGAGGGAAACAACCCAGACCGCCAGCUAAGGUCCCAAAGUCAUGGUUAAGUGGGAAACGAUGUGGGAAGGCCCAGACAGCCAGGAUGUUGGCUUAGAAGCAGCCAUCAUUUAAAGAAAGCGUAAUAGCUCACUGGUCGAGUCGGCCUGCGCGGAAGAUGUAACGGGGCUAAACCAUGCACCGAAGCUGCGGCAGCGAACGUAUCACUUAAAGCGAUUCAGCGGGUUACGAUUGACGGAGCGAAGCGACGUCAAAGCGUAUACAAAGUCGAGUCGGUUUAAGGAUACGUUCGUUGGGUAGGGGAGCGUUCUGUAAGCCUGUGAAGGUGUGUCGUGAGGCAUGCUGGAGGUAUCAGAAGUGCGAAUGCUGACAUAAGUAACGAUAAAGCGGGUGAAAAGCCCGCUCGCCGGAAGACCAAGGGUUCCUGUCCAACGUUAAUCGGGGCAGGGUGAGUCGACCCCUAAGGCGAGGCCGAAAGGCGUAGUCGAUGGGAAACGGGUUAAUAUUCCCGUACUUGGUGUUACUGCGAAGGGGGGACGGAGAAGGCUAUGUUGGCCGGGCGACGGUUGUCCCGGUUUAAGCGUGUAGGCUGGUUUUCCAGGCAAAUCCGGAAAAUCAAGGCUGAGGCGUGAUGACGAGGCACUACGGUGCUGAAGCAACAAAUGCCCUGCUUCCAGGAAA